This 117-nucleotide non-coding RNA is filed under the name Ctenophora environmental sample. Lineage: Eukaryota; Metazoa; Ctenophora. The record is from RNAcentral.
AAGAGGGCAACACCCAAGGAUUCCGAUGGAGGUUGCCACCUGGUAAUUUCUCUUGGAAUCCCGUUUGUUGUUUGAUAUCUUCUCUCUUCUGUCGUCCAACCCGUCGUCGCCACCAUG